GCAUAACGCGAAGAACCUUACCAAGGCUUGACAUACACGAGAACACUCUGGAAACAGGGGACUCUUUGGACACUCGUGAACAGGUGGUGCAUGGUUGUCGUCAGCUCGUGUCGUGAGAUGUUGGGUUAAGUCCCGCAACGAGCGCAACCCUCGUUCUAUGUUGCCAGCACGUUAUGGUGGGAACUCAUGGGAUACUGCCGGGGUCAACUCGGAGGAAGGUGGGGAUGACGUCAAAUCAUCAUGCCCCUUAUGUCUUGGGCUUCACGCAUGCUACAAUGGCCGGUACAAAGGGCUGCAAUACCGUGAGGUGGAGCGAAUCCCAAAAAGCCGGUCCCAGUUCGGAUUGAGGUCUGCAACUCGACCUCAUGAAGUCGGAGUCGCUAGUAAUCGCAGAUCAGCAACGCUGCGGUGAAUACGUUCCCGGGUCUUGUACACACCG
RNAcentral lists this ribosomal RNA (439 nucleotides) under uncultured bacterium. Its description in RNAcentral is "bacterial SSU rRNA". It matches the Rfam family "Bacterial small subunit ribosomal RNA", at positions 954 to 1392 of the family's 1533-position model. The record is from RNAcentral.